RNAcentral lists this ribosomal RNA (301 nucleotides) under uncultured bacterium. Its description in RNAcentral is "partial 16S ribosomal RNA". It matches the Rfam family "Bacterial small subunit ribosomal RNA", at positions 509 to 808 of the family's 1533-position model. The record is from RNAcentral.
CAGUAGCCACGGGAAUACGAAGGGUGCAAACGUUGCUCGGAAUUAUUGGGCGUAAAGCGCACGUAGGCGGCUCCGCAAGUCGGAUGUGAAAUCCCUCGGCUUAACCAAGGAAGUGCAUCCGAAACUGCAGAGCUUGAGUACUUAAGAGGAUCGCGGAAUUCCCGGUGUAGAGGUGAAAUGCGUAGAUAUAUGGAGGAACACCGGUGGCGAAAGCGGCUCUCUGGCUUGUAACUGACGCUGAGGCUCGAAAGCGUGGGAGCAAACAGGAUUAGAGACCCCGGUAGUCCCUGUCUCUUAUACA